This 253-nucleotide ribosomal RNA is filed under the name uncultured bacterium. RNAcentral describes it as "partial 16S ribosomal RNA". It matches the Rfam family "Bacterial small subunit ribosomal RNA", at positions 524 to 776 of the family's 1533-position model. The record is from RNAcentral.
UACGAAGGAUGCAAGCGUUAUCCGGAAUUAUUGGGUUUAAAGGGUGCGUAGGCGGACUAAUAAGUCAGUGGUGAAAGCCUGCAGCUUAACUGCAGAAUUGCCGUUGAUACUGUUAGUCUUGAGUACAGUUGAGGUAGGCGGAAUGUGUCAUGUAGCGGUGAAAUGCUUAGAUAUGACACAGAACACCGAUUGCGAAGGCAGCUUGCUAAGCUGUAACUGACGCUGAGGCACGAAAGCGUGGGGAGCAAACAGG